Molecule: ribosomal RNA, 253 nt
Filed under: uncultured bacterium
Lineage: Bacteria
Description: partial 16S ribosomal RNA
Rfam family: Bacterial small subunit ribosomal RNA
Source: RNAcentral
CACGGGGGGAGCAAGCGUUGUUCGGAAUUACUGGGCGUAAAGGGCGCGUAGGCGGCCUUCUAAGUCGAACGUGAAAUCCCCGGGCUCAACCCGGGAACUGCGUCCGAUACUGGAAGGCUUGAAUUCGGGAGAGGGAUGCGGAAUUCCAGGUGUAGCGGUGAAAUGCGUAGAUAUCUGGAGGAACACCGGUGGCGAAGGCGGCAUCCUGGACCGGCAUUGACGCUGAGGCGCGAAAGCCAGGGGAGCAAACGGG